CAAUAGACGAGUGGCGGACGGGUGAGUAACGCGUGGGAACCUGCCCUUGAGUGCGGGAUAACCGAGGGAAACUUCGGCUAAUACCGCAUGCGCCCCCAGCGAUGGGGGGAAAGAUUUAUCGCUCGAGGAGGGGCCCGCGUCGGAUUAGCUAGUUGGUGGGGUAACGGCCUACCAAGGCGAUGAUCCGUAGCUGGUCUGAGAGGAUGAUCAGCCACACUGGGACUGAGACACGGCCCAGACUCCUGCGGGAGGCAGCAGUAGGGAAUAUUGGACAAUGGGGGCAACCCUGAUCCAGCAAUGCCGCGUGAGUGAUGAAGGCCUUAGGGUUGUAAAGCUCUUUCGCGCGCGACGAUGAUGACGGUAGCGCGAGAAGAAGCCCCGGCUAACUUCGUGCCAGCAGCCGCGGUAAUACGAAGGGGGCGAGCGUUGUUCGGAAUUACUGGGCGUAAAGGGCGCGCAGGCGGCCGAUCAAGUCAGGCGUGAAAGCCCCGGGCUUAACCUGGGAAUUGCGCUUGGGACUGGUUGGCUUGAGUUCGGGAGAGGAGAGUGGAAUUCCCAGUGUAGAGGUGAAAUUCGUAGAUAUUGGAAGAACACCGGUGGCGAAGGCGGCUCUCUGGACCGAUACUGACGCUGAGGCGCGAAAGCGUGGGGAGCAAACAGGAUUAGAUACCCUGGUAGUCCACGCUGUAAACGAUGUGCGCUAGACGUUGGAGGGCGUAGCCUUCCGGUGUCGCAGCUAACGCUUUAAGCGCACCGCCUGGGGAGUACGGCCGCAAGGUUAAAACUCAAAGGAAUUGACGGGGGCCCGCACAAGCGGUGGAGCAUGUGGUUCAAUUCGACGC
Molecule: ribosomal RNA, 842 nt
Filed under: uncultured Rhodospirillales bacterium
Lineage: Bacteria; Pseudomonadati; Pseudomonadota; Alphaproteobacteria; Rhodospirillales
Description: bacterial SSU rRNA
Rfam family: Bacterial small subunit ribosomal RNA
Source: RNAcentral